Molecule: transfer RNA, 73 nt
Filed under: bacterium
Lineage: Bacteria
Description: tRNA-Ala
Rfam family: tRNA
About the family: Transfer RNA (tRNA) molecules are approximately 80 nucleotides in length. Their secondary structure includes four short double-helical elements and three loops (D, anti-codon, and T loops).
Source: RNAcentral
GGGGGUGUAGCUCAGCUGGGAGAGCGCUUGCAUGGCAUGCACGAGGUCAGGGGUUCGAUCCCCCUCACCUCCA